CCCGCACACCGGACGCACAUACCCAGCUAGGGGCAGACUCAAAGAUCCCAGCCCUUAUCUUCUCCCCAUAUCAGAGCUCGGAAGCCAGAAAUCUUCCUAAGGCAGGUGAAAGCAAGCCGAGCCCCACUGCUGAAGGACAAAGCCACAGGAAGCCUGAUGACAUCUUUCCUCUGAGGCUUCCAAACGAUCACCCCAAAUUGCUUGCUGAUACUGGGAAGAGUGGCCAUGAACUCUCCAUUGCUCUGCUGGCUGUGGAAUGUUUGCUCAGCACAGGAAGCAUUUAAGGAGAAAGUCAAAGUAGCCAAAAGGCAAACCAGAUGGUGGUGGACAUGUGGGUGACAGAGCAUCCUGCAUUUGUUGCCUCGGGGUGCAGCCCCAAAGAUAAAGCCAGCAGUGUGCAAAUGACAAAUGCUACCCCACCUCCGCCAGGCAGCCAGAGCCAGGGCCGAAGGACGCGGAAAGGAACUGGUGUGGAAACCUGCCCAGGAACCGCACUCUCAACUGAGAAGAGUCCGGGGCGCGUCCCCGCCCGGCCGCCCGGCUGUCACUCAAGCUCUCCUGAACUUCCCCGCCCGACUCGGGGAGGGGUCGGGGAAGAGGCUCUGC
This 606-nucleotide long non-coding RNA is filed under the name Homo sapiens (human). RNAcentral describes it as "lncAB314.1". The record is from RNAcentral. Lineage: Eukaryota; Metazoa; Chordata; Mammalia; Primates; Hominidae.